RNAcentral lists this non-coding RNA (407 nucleotides) under Pan troglodytes (chimpanzee). The record is from RNAcentral. Lineage: Eukaryota; Metazoa; Chordata; Mammalia; Primates; Hominidae.
GCCCCUAUGAUUUAUUCCCCCACUUCACUUGACACGUCCUGAGAAGCAGUGAUGCGCUGACGUUAAUGGCAGGAUGCCCAACCUCACUUUGUCCAUCCCUCCCAGCACUCACUGGUUGCAGAAAAGGUCACGCAUUGCGGUCAACAUAAAAAUCUCAUUACUCUGGUCUGCAUGCAUCCCUCCCCUUCCUCUACUUGCCCUCCAACACGCUUAUUAAAAACAAAAUUUAAAGAAAGAAAAGGGAAAGAAAAAAAGACUUUCAGCAGUUAAAAUCAGAAAUCAAGUACCUUUGUUGGAAUAGUAUGAAUGGAAUGAUACGAGGUUCCACUGUGGGACAUUUUCUUUAGACCUGCAAUUUAAGGCUAUCUUUACAAUAUUGUACGUUAUUACAAUAACAUUUUAAAUAA